This is a long non-coding RNA of Setaria italica (foxtail millet), 1157 nucleotides long. RefSeq lists it as uncharacterized. NCBI's taxonomy places the organism in Eukaryota, Viridiplantae, Streptophyta, Magnoliopsida, Poales, Poaceae. The record is from RefSeq and is a predicted model, not a curated record. The transcript is spliced from 2 exons.
GCAUCUAUUAACACGCAACCGCCAUCGACCACACGACCGGCGCGGGAUGCGCACGCCCCGCCCCCGUCUCCGGGGCUUCUCUGCGGCGGUGCUCUGCGCCGUGGGCGGCUGCGACCACCUGGAUUGCCACAGUGGCCCGUUCCUCGUCGUCUACGUGUGGGCCGGCUUCGUGGAAUAUGACCCCACGUGGGCGAGCGUGUACUCGUCGGAGACGGGCGAGUGGAGCGCCGCCUCCUCUGUUGCCGAUCGUCGCUGUUCUAGCGUUGAGCCCAAGCGCGGCGAGGUUGUCGGAAAUGUCGUCUGCUUCACGCUUCACUCUGGUUCGAUUGUCAUGUAUGAUUUGGGCGACCAUAGCUUGUCUUCGAUUAAACGUCAGGACAUGCCCGACGUGCACGGUGCGGAAGUUGUCCCCGUCCCGAUGGAGGACGGUUCGCUGGGGCUGGCUACCAUUGUGGCCUCAAGACUUUACCUGUGGUCAUUGGGUACAGCGUAGGGUCAUUGGCAUUGGGACGAUGCUCCCCAUUGGCAACCCCAAUAGCCUAGCUGAUGUGAUUGGGAUUGCAGAAGGUGUUGGUAUUAUCUUUGUGAGCGCUGAUGUUGGCGCCUUCACGGUUGAGCCCAAAUCUGGGAGGAUGAGGAUUGAGGAAGGUAAGUGACCAUGUAAAGUCCUACAACGCCAUACCCUUCAUGAGCUUCUAACUCCAGCUGAUCGUGCUAGCGGCAGAUUGCCAUUGCCAGCAGAGACAAAUUAAUCACUGCUGAGGAGCUGAGCCGAAGUAUGGUAGUACCUGGCCAAUUUACAAAUCCACCUAGCUGAAUCUGCUUGCAUGCCUUGUGCUUUGAAAUAUUUAGUAUUCUGUUGGGCAGUUUACUUUGUGAUAGUGUAAGACAUCAUGGUAGGUUAUAUUCCUUAUUGUUAUGAUCAUGACUGUGCAGGCCAUGUUUGAAGUUUACAGCUAAUAUUACUUUGGUGAGUGUUCAAUUGAUGGUUGACAGGACAGGUCAACUUUGACCUGAUGAUGUAUUGUGGUUGUUUUGACUGAAAAGUGAAUCUGUGUGCUUCAGUUUGAUUUUCAUUUCUGCAAAGAUGAUGGCAGUUUCAGGCCUUCUGCCCUUUUAUUGAUACAUGCGGAAUAAAAGGCUCAAAUUUGACUUCA